GCCUGGGUGGCUCAGUCGGUCAAGCAUCUGACUUCAGCUCAGGUCAUGAUCUUGUGGCUUGUGGGUUCGAGCCCUGCAUUGGGCU
Transfer RNA from Felis catus (domestic cat), 85 nucleotides. It matches the Rfam family "tRNA". From Rfam's summary of the family: Transfer RNA (tRNA) molecules are approximately 80 nucleotides in length. Their secondary structure includes four short double-helical elements and three loops (D, anti-codon, and T loops). Further hydrogen bonds mediate the characteristic L-shaped molecular structure. tRNAs have two regions of fundamental functional importance: the anti-codon, which is responsible for specific mRNA codon recognition, and the 3' end, to which the tRNAs corresponding amino acid is attached (by aminoacyl-tRNA synthetases). tRNAs cope with the degeneracy of the genetic code in two manners: having more than one tRNA (with a specific anti-codon) for a particular amino acid; and 'wobble' base-pairing, i.e. permitting non-standard base-pairing at the 3rd anti-codon position. NCBI's taxonomy places the organism in Eukaryota, Metazoa, Chordata, Mammalia, Carnivora, Felidae. The record is from Rfam.